CUUAGUUCAAUCGGUAGAACAAUGGUCUCCAAAACCAUUGGUUGAGGGUUCGAUUCCUUCUGCCC
This 65-nucleotide transfer RNA is filed under the name uncultured Megasphaera sp. The stretch from base 3 to 60 matches the Rfam family "tRNA", at positions 8 to 63 of the family's 71-position model. From Rfam's summary of the family: Transfer RNA (tRNA) molecules are approximately 80 nucleotides in length. Their secondary structure includes four short double-helical elements and three loops (D, anti-codon, and T loops). Further hydrogen bonds mediate the characteristic L-shaped molecular structure. tRNAs have two regions of fundamental functional importance: the anti-codon, which is responsible for specific mRNA codon recognition, and the 3' end, to which the tRNAs corresponding amino acid is attached (by aminoacyl-tRNA synthetases). tRNAs cope with the degeneracy of the genetic code in two manners: having more than one tRNA (with a specific anti-codon) for a particular amino acid; and 'wobble' base-pairing, i.e. permitting non-standard base-pairing at the 3rd anti-codon position. Lineage: Bacteria; Bacillati; Bacillota; Negativicutes; Veillonellales; Veillonellaceae. The record is from RNAcentral.